Molecule: small nuclear RNA, 107 nt
Organism: Trichosurus vulpecula (common brushtail)
Lineage: Eukaryota; Metazoa; Chordata; Mammalia; Diprotodontia; Phalangeridae
Source: RefSeq, a predicted model, not a curated record
GUGCUCACUUUGGCAGCACAUAUAGUAAAAUUGGAAUGAUGCAGAGAAGAUUAGCAUGGCCCCUGUUCAAGGAUAACACACAAAUUCAUGAAGUGUUCCAUAUUUUA